AGCUUUGCACAGUGGCAGUAUCGUAGCCAAUGAGGUUUAUCCAAGGCACAAUUAUUGCUAAUUGAAAACUUUUCCCAAUACCCCACCAUGAUGACUUGAAAUAUAGUUGGCAUUGGCAAUUUUUGACAGUCUCUGAAGAGA
Molecule: small nuclear RNA, 141 nt
Filed under: Saimiri boliviensis boliviensis (Bolivian squirrel monkey)
Lineage: Eukaryota; Metazoa; Chordata; Mammalia; Primates; Cebidae
Description: U4 spliceosomal RNA (ENSSBOG00000012380.1)
Rfam family: U4 spliceosomal RNA
About the family: U4 small nuclear RNA (U4 snRNA) is a component of the major U2-dependent spliceosome. The structure of U4 snRNA from yeast and human has been reported. U4 snRNA presents a k-turn RNA motif in the 5p-SL related to recognition of Snu13 protein.
Source: Rfam by way of RNAcentral